UACGUAGGGUGCAGGCGUUAAUCGGAAUUACUGGGCGUAAAGCGUGCGCAGGCGGUUUGCUAAGACAGGUGUGAAAUCCCCGGGCUUAACCUGGGAACUGCGCUUGUAACUGGCAAGCUAGAGUGUGGCAGAGGGGGGUGGAAUUCCAGGUGUAGCGGUGAAAUGCGUAGAUAUCUGGAGGAACACCGGUGGCGAAGGCGGCAUCCUGGACCGACACUGACGCUGAGGAGCGAAAGCCAGGGGAGCAAACAGG
RNAcentral lists this ribosomal RNA (253 nucleotides) under uncultured bacterium. RNAcentral's name for it is "partial 16S ribosomal RNA". It matches the Rfam family "Bacterial small subunit ribosomal RNA", at positions 524 to 776 of the family's 1533-position model. The record is from RNAcentral.